Long non-coding RNA from Oncorhynchus keta (chum salmon), 2797 nucleotides. RefSeq lists it as uncharacterized. The transcript is spliced from 3 exons. Lineage: Eukaryota; Metazoa; Chordata; Actinopteri; Salmoniformes; Salmonidae. The record is from RefSeq and is a predicted model, not a curated record.
UCUCCAUCUUCUCCUGGUGGAAGAAGAGGAGGGUGUCAUCAUACUGCUUGUUGUCUAUGGUAGGUUGGUCUGGUCUAGUCUUGUCUGACUGCUCUGGUCUGGCUGUAGACAGUUUUUAUUGGUCAAGGCUGGAAGUACUCUGUCUGACCUUUGACCGAUGUAUGUGAUUUCAGAGAUACAGGGAUACUAUGCUCUGUCCAUCGGGUUGGGAGCAACAUUGGACAUCCUAGUCUUGACAUAGUGCCUUCUAUAGCAUCUAAUGUUCCCUUUCUUACCAGUCAGUCAAUCCACUGUAUUUUGCCCGGUCUGAGCCAUCCCUAAAAGACCUCUAUGCAUGCAUGGUAUGUGCUCUGGCCAACUCUCACUUCUUUGCCAUGUGCUAAGUCAUUUAGCAGACUUUCUGUCAGCCUGACUUUAGCCAAGUCAAUGUAUUUUGUUGUUGUCACUGCAUAGUCAGGUAACCUACAUGUCUGUUGGACUGAUAUAGUUGCUUCACAAACCUUCUUUGAACCUUGCAGCUUCAGUCUUUUCUUGUCUACUGAGCAAGAUGUGCGCUCAUAGAUUUUCUUCUUAUAUUCUGGACCGAAUUGGCAUUCCAUAAUCUUCUGACCACCAGGCAUGUAUGGAACACCAUUAUAAUCAAUCUUGGGAUUGCUGCUUUUGGAGGAUUGGAUAUGUGUUCUGGAGAACGAUGUCUUGUCCAUGUAGUUAAGUUUGACACUGAAAGACAAUGAGGUCCUUAUACUAAGUUGUUGAAGUUUUCCUUUUGUACAGUUCCAACACUGUACACACUAGCAACAUAACUACUCCUUGAGAUUGUCCAUUCUGAAAGGUAAACAAAAGAGCUUAUUAUUUAAAAUCUGAUCACAAAACAUUUCAUAAAUCUUGUUGUGAAUAAUUGGUAACCGUUUCAUAAAAACAAUAAGCCCCUUGAGGCUAUGAGGUAUGGGAUACAUAUCCUGGUUAAGGGGUGUGUACAAGCACUCCACUGCGUUGUGCCAAGAACACCACUUAGCAGUAUACAUGUCACGACUUCACUGAGUGUAGAAAACAUUAGGAACCUUUCCAUGACAGACUGACCAGGUGAAAGCUAUGAUCCUUUAUUCAUGUCACUUGUUAAAUCCACUUCAAUCAGUGUAGAUGAAAGGGCGGAGACGGGAUAAGGAAGGAUUUUUAGGCCUUGAGACAUGGAUUGUGUGUGUGUGCCACUCACAAGCUGAAUGGGCAAGACAAAAGAUGUAAGUGCUUUUGAACAGGGUAUAGUAGUAGCUGUCAGGUGGACUGGUUUGAAUCAAGAACUGCAAUGCUGCUUUUUUUUCACGCUCAACGGUUUUCCAUGUUUAUCAAGAAUGGUCCACCACCCAAAGGGCAUCCAGCCAACUUGACACAACUGUGGGAAGCAUUGGAGUCAAAAUAGGCCAGCAUCCCUGUGGAAUGCUUUCGACAACUUGUAGAGUCAAUGCCCUGACGAAUUGAGGCUGUUCUGAGGGCAAAAUGGGAGGGUCCAACUCAAUAUUAGGAUGGUGUUAUUCAUGUUUUAUACACUCAGUGUAUAUCCCAUAUACCACGGCCUCGCAGGCCUUAUGACUGACUACUUUAAUCCAUGGAAAGGUGAAACAAUUUCUGUAGAGCAGCUUUUAAUCAUAAAGCCGUGUGAGAAAUCAUGUGGUAGGUUGACGUAUUACAGAAGAUACUAACCUUUUACUGGCUCACUCUGACAACUGCAAGCUCUCUUUUUCCUGCUUAAAAAGUUGAUGGACAAGGCUCUAAGAUCCCACUGCUGGUUAAAACUAGUAUGUCAUGUGCAAAUACAAGACAAAGACAGAAAAGUGAUUAUCAAUUCAAUGUAUAAAUCAGAAUAGAUAAUGUAGCGACUGUGAAUCAUAAUAUAAUACAGAAAUAUUGUUUCAUUCUGUCACGCCCUGACCUUAGAGAGCCUUUUUUAUUCUCUAUUUGGUUAAGUCGGGAUGGGAAAAUCUAUGUUUCUAUUUCUUUGUUGGCCGGGUAUGGUUCCCAAUCAGAGGCAGCUGUUUAUCGUUGUCUCUGAUUGGGGAUCAUACUUAAGCAACCCUUUUUCCCACCUUAAAUUGUGGGAUCUUGAUUUUGUUAGUUGCUGUACAGCCUGCAGAACUUUACGGUCGUUUUGUAUUUUGUUGUUUUGUCGGAGUUCAGUAUUAAAAAUCAUGAACACUUUCCACGCUGCGCUUUGGUCUCAUUCAUCUAACGACGGACGUAACACAUUCAUCUAUCAUUCUUGAUAAGCAGGGCCUUGUGGCAUUGGGCCAGCCUGUGAGGUGGUGGUCUUUGUGUGAUUGUCUAGGCAGAAAGCCAGAGGCAGGACGAGCCUGCAGUGGAGUUGUUGUGGGUGUUGAGUUAGUGACCGUGCCAGGCUAUUCCCGGGGACCGCAGAGUGCCGAGUAGAUAGCAGAUGAGCCGCUCUUCUCUUUCCUCGAUACAGACACUGGUAGAAGACAGCCUCAGCAACGGACACAGGAACAGUAUCUCCCCUCUCCUCCAUCUCUUGUCCCCAGAGGGAGUAAUUGUGUUCUGGCUGAUGGUAAAGGCCAUCCAGACCAUCUCCUUCCUCAACUUGUUCUUCCCGCUGGUGGUACCCCUGUCCACCUCCUGGCAGUGUGAGAUCCAUGUCUGGGCCCUUCAGAUGAACAUGAUGGUGUAUGUGGGAGGCAUUGUACGACUAGGACACAAUGACACAACCUAUUUAUUCGGUACAUUUAAUUCCCUUUAGUAUAAAAACAAUACGCAGCAUUCAAAUUGAUUGUUGCUAUAGUUUUCAGGA